Molecule: ribosomal RNA, 497 nt
Filed under: uncultured bacterium
Lineage: Bacteria
Description: partial 16S ribosomal RNA
Rfam family: Bacterial small subunit ribosomal RNA
Source: RNAcentral
GAUGAACGCUGGCGGCGUGCCUAAUACAUGCGAGUCGAGCGAACGGACGAGAAGCUUGCUUCUCUGAUGUUAGCGGCGGACGGGUGAGUAACACGUGGAUAACCUACCUAUAAGACUGGGAUAACUUCGGGAAACCGGAGCUAAUACCGGAUAAUAUUUUGAACCGCAUGGUUCAAAAGUGAAAGACGGUCUUGCUGUCACUUAUAGAUGGAUCCGCGCUGCAUUAGCUAGUUGGUAAGGUAACGGCUUACCAAGGCAACGAUGCAUAGCCGACCUGAGAGGGUGAUCGGCCACACUGGAACUGAGACACGGUCCAGACUCCUACGGGAGGCAGCAGUAGGGAAUCUUCCGCAAUGGGCGAAAGCCUGACGGAGCAACGCCGCGUGAGUGAUGAAGGUCUUCGGAUCGUAAAACUCUGUUAUUAGGGAAGAACAUAUGUGUAAGUAACUGUGCACAUCUUGACGGUACCUAAUCAGAAAGCAACGGCUAACUACGUG